Molecule: ribosomal RNA, 429 nt
Filed under: bacterium
Lineage: Bacteria
Description: partial 16S ribosomal RNA
Rfam family: Bacterial small subunit ribosomal RNA
Source: RNAcentral
UAGGGAAUCUUCGGCAAUGGGGGCAACCCUGACCGAGCAACGCCGCGUGAGUGAAGAAGGUUUUCGGAUCGUAAAGCUCUGUUGUAAGAGAAGAACGUGUGUGAGAGUGGAAAGUUCACACAGUGACGGUAACUUACCAGAAAGGGACGGCUAACUACGUGCCAGCAGCCGCGGUAAUACGUAGGUCCCGAGCGUUGUCCGGAUUUAUUGGGCGUAAAGCGAGCGCAGGCGGUUUAAUAAAUCUGAAGUUCAAGGCAGUGGCUUAACCAUUGUUGGCUUUGGUAACUGUUAAACUUGAGUGCAGAAGGGGGGAGUGGAAUUCCAUGUGUAGCGGUGAAAGGCGUAGAUAUAUGGAGGAACACCGGUGGCGAAAGCGGCUCUCUGGUCUGUAACUGACGCUGAGGCUCGAAAGCGUGGGGAGCAAACAGG